GACGAACGCUGGCGGCGUGCUUAACACAUGCAAGUCGAACGGUAAGGCCCUUCGGGGUACACGAGUGGCGAACGGGUGAGUAACACGUGGGUGAUCUGCCCUGCACUUCGGGAUAAGCCUGGGAAACUGGGUCUAAUACCGGAUAGGACCCUGGGAUGCAUGUCCUGGGGUGGAAAGCUUUUGCGGUGUGGGAUGGGCCCGCGGCCUAUCAGCUUGUUGGUGGGGUGAUGGCCUACCAAGGCGACGACGGGUAGCCGGCCUGAGAGGGUGACCAGCCACACUGGGACUGAGAUACGGCCCAGACUCCUACGGGAGGCAGCAGUGGGGAAUAUUGCACAAUGGGCGCAAGCCUGAUGCAGCGACGCCGCGUGAGGGAUGACGGCCUUCGGGUUGUAAGCCUCUUUCAGCACCGACGAAGCGCAAGUGACGGUAGGUGCAAAAGAAGGACCGGCCAACUACGUGCCAGCAGCCGCGGUAA
This 478-nucleotide ribosomal RNA is filed under the name uncultured bacterium. RNAcentral describes it as "partial 16S ribosomal RNA". It matches the Rfam family "Bacterial small subunit ribosomal RNA", at positions 28 to 523 of the family's 1533-position model. The record is from RNAcentral.